Molecule: ribosomal RNA, 253 nt
Filed under: uncultured bacterium
Lineage: Bacteria
Description: partial 16S ribosomal RNA
Rfam family: Bacterial small subunit ribosomal RNA
Source: RNAcentral
UACGAAGGGGGCUAGCGUUGCUCGGAAUCACUGGGCGUAAAGGGUGCGUAGGCGGGUCUUUAAGUCGGGGGUGAAAUCCUGGAGCUCAACUCCAGAACUGCCUUCGAUACUGGAGAGCUCGAGUCCGGGAGAGGUGAGUGGAACUGCGAGUGUAGAGGUGAAAUUCGUAGAUAUUCGGAAGAACACCAGUGGCGAAGGCGACUUACUGGACACAUAUUGACGCUGAGGUGCGAAAGCGUGGGGAGCAAACAGG